AAUAAUCAUGAUAUUUGUUUAGCUUUUCCCAUGUGCUUAACACUGUAGUACCUGCUGGUAUAGAUACAAGAUAAUCAGGUCAGACACACUCCCUAACCCACGGUCAAAGAAGGAGAGAGAACAGGAAUGUAAUCCCCUAUUAAUAGACGAGGACACAAUAGACGAGGCACAAAGAAAUUAUGUAACUCACCUUGGGUCAUUCAGCAGGCAAGUGUCAGAAAUGGGUUUAGAACCCAGGUCUCCUGACUUCCAGGUUUAUGCUCUUUCCACUAGGUUAUGCUGCUUCUCCAUGUAGCAUCCCAUCUCAUAAAAGAAAUGCAUGCAGCAGAAAAGACUCUGCUUCCCGAAAAGAGGCUCAGGUUGCAUUAGGAAUUUGAUCAUGGCAAAGAAAGAUCCAGUCAAGAGAUUUUCCCCUUCUCUCACUUAGCACCUCUCUUAUCCCUGCAGGUCAGAGGCCAAGCCCAACCUCAACAACUAAAACAGACCCCAGCCCGUCUUCUCCGACUGUCUGCAAGGGAGUGGCCACACAUGUGGCCAUCUGCUGGGUGUUUGGGACCCUUCUCUGCUUCACUUCAGUGCUUCUAGGGGUUCAGAUGUGGAGCAGAAGAGGACAACACGCUGUUUCCAACAGAGACAAGCAUUCCUUCUCAGACGGUGUCUAUGAAGAUCUCACUAAUAUCCCGUUGGAGGAGAAGUAUGAGGAGAUCGAAGACUUUGAAGACAACCCACCAGGGGAGCCAUACGAUGAUACUGAGGAGUUUGGUGACCAGCUAACCGAGAAGGAGGCCAGCCCAUUGGCAGGUCUGGGGCUGUUUCAGGAUCCUUUCUACUGCAAAUCACCAAUCUGAGUGUGAUAAUAACAAU
This 864-nucleotide long non-coding RNA is filed under the name Ornithorhynchus anatinus (platypus). Its description in RNAcentral is "lncRNA (ENSOANG00000044488.1)". The record is from RNAcentral. Lineage: Eukaryota; Metazoa; Chordata; Mammalia; Monotremata; Ornithorhynchidae.